CCCGUUAGCAAUAUAAUGAUAUAUAUAAAAUUAUGAAUUGUUGCUCACAGCUAAUAGUACUGUAUAUUAUCUAAUAAGAUAUCAAAAUAUAUUUUACAGCAAAACUAAUUUCAAUGCAUGAAAACAAUAGGAUGUCUAAUGACUGUUUUGUAUUGACGAAAACUAAGCAAUGAAGACAUAACUAUAGCUGUGUAACAGAGAUUUAAAAAAAGAUUAAAUAAAUACAAUCCGCACAAGAAAGUUGAUGAACUGAAAGAUCAUCAUUAAUCAUUUUUGUUCAAUACAUACAUGAUGCAUGUAUACCUAGAAACUGAAAUGAAAGAGUGUCGAAGAUACCAGAGGAACAGUCAAACUCAUAAAUCAAAAAUAAACUGACAACGCCAUGGCUAAAAAAUAAAAAGACAAACAUACACAUAAUAGUACAAAAGACAAAACAAAGAAAACUAAAGACUAAGCAACACGAAACCCACCAACACUGGGGUGAUCUCAGGUGCUCCGGAAGGAUAAGCAGAUCCUGCUCCACAUGUGGCACCCGUCGUGUUGCUCAUGUUAUUACAAACCCGGUAAAUAGUCUAAUUUGGUAGAUCACAUUCGUGGUGAAAAGAGAAGUUGGUUGUAGUUACGACAUAAGGAACAUAUCCGAUAUAAUCUGUGAAACGGUUGUUCCAUAACAGUCAACCAACUCGUGAUGGCGUCCAUAAAAUUUACGAAUUGAUGGUUUCAACUUCACC
Molecule: long non-coding RNA, 731 nt
Filed under: Mytilus galloprovincialis (Mediterranean mussel)
Lineage: Eukaryota; Metazoa; Mollusca; Bivalvia; Mytilida; Mytilidae
Source: RNAcentral